Columba livia (rock pigeon) is the source of this 8659-nucleotide long non-coding RNA. RefSeq lists it as uncharacterized. Lineage: Eukaryota; Metazoa; Chordata; Aves; Columbiformes; Columbidae. The record is from RefSeq and is a predicted model, not a curated record. The transcript has 5 exons.
UCGCGGUGACCGUUUUGGGGCGAGGUGGGGGGGAUUCCCGCCUGUACAGAGAUGGAGGUUGGGAAAUAACGGUCGCUGCCGGCGAACGGCCGCAAGAUGGCGCCGCCAGCCGCGUCUGCGGGUCAGCGCGUCCACGCACAGGUGCGGGUGUCCGGUAACGGGCGGCCCUGUGGCUCCGGGCUUGCGGCCUCCCUUCUGCUCCACCGGCUCUGUUGGCUGUUGAUUCAUUCAAAGCCCUUCAGAAUCUUUGCAAGCUUCGACCAAGAAAACAUGUUUUCUCCACCAAUAAUUCUUGAAGAAGCUUUUUUUGCAGGAGGAAAUCAUUAGGAGACUAGAUUUGGACUCCAGCCUGCCACUUAUCAAUACCUCUGCUGCUCCUAUGGCCCCAAGUUGAUGGUACAACAGAAAGAGUCUGACAGCUGAAAUGUGUUGGGAAUCCAGCUGACAUCAACAUGUAUCUGCUGAGAAGUUAUCACAUCAAUGACUCGAUGCAGGUUGUACCUGAGCAAAUGAAAUGGAGGCCAGAACAAAUGGACAUGUCCUAUAACCACCGUCCCUUCCAGCUCAAAGCCACGGUCUUUAAAAGCAGUGCAUCCAUCAGCUGGUCACUGCUGCAAACAAGAAGCAGAGAGGGACACGUGUCAGAUUUGAAGAGUACAGGCUUCUAAUUCGAGAUGUUUAUAGUGGGGCAAAAAGCCUAAGUGGAGUCUUUAGAAAGCAUUUGCAACAGUCACCUUUUUGUGUCACCCCUCCCAUGCUCCCAGAAGAGUAAAAAUUAAGGCAAUAGGAAACCAUGCUCAGCCUUGCAUGGUUUAAGGCACGGAUUUUUGAAGUGAUCCUGCAUUGAGGACCUUCACACAAAACAAUACUGAAGUUGCAAAUGGAUGAUAUUGAGCAUAGAGGCAGCAGAAAUAAAUGGGUGGUCAAAAAUAGCUUGAAAUGGGACUCAUCAGAGAACACGGACUCAAUCUCCAUAAACACCCUCUGACCUUUUGGCAGGUGGCACCCACACCAGCCACUGUCCAGAUGCCUAAAUCACAGCUCUCCCGGCAACCACCCGUGCCCUCCAGCCCCACUCCCUGCUAUCCCGGGCAAAGCUUCAGCCAGGGGUGGCGAGGGAGCUGGGGUGAGGGUCUCUCCCAGGUAGGUAGGACUCUGUUUGCAUGGUAUUUGAAGGCUGAAGUUUCACAAUGUUAUCAUGAGAGCUGAGACGUCAGAGCUGAAGUCCUUCCUCCCAUCAGAAACUGGGAAAGAGAGACUACACCCCCCUUUCCCAACACCUCCGCUACCUCCUAGACUGGAGGAAGCCUUUCUACACUGCUGCUGUUGUGGUGUCAUUUUUAUUCAGACACUUGGAAGAAGGGCUGGGUUUUUUUCCCUUUCCUGCCCUCUCUCUCCUGUGUUGUUUCUCCGUUACCCAUUAGCAAAGGGACCUUUCUGGUGCUGCCGUUUUGGGGCUGGCUGCCUUACAAACUCAGUUCACAGAUGAGAAAUUUCAGGCACAACUUGGCAAAUCCAGAGGACACUGUUGGAAGCUGCUGGUGUGAUACAAAUAUUCAUUCAUUUACUGUGUAUGGAAUAUAAGGAAGAUGAGUCAACUGACACGUGGUUUCUAAGGAGUGUACGGAAAAAUCACAUCCUAUCCUUGUUUCCAAUUGGGGAGUUGCUUUUUCCACCUGAAAAACUCAACUAGAUCCUCCAGUUGAUGUUUAAUGAUGACAACAAUGAACUAUUACAUAAAAUGAGUUUGGGAGCUCAGCAGCAUCCAUCCACCACAAUUUUAACAUCCAAUGUAUCAUUUUUGUGUGGCAUAUCUAAUGAUGCUGAUUUUGAUGUGUUAUCCUGAUGUUUUGCAGUUCUAGUGACACCUUUGUCUAGUUUCUUAAGCUACAUUUAUAUUUACCCAAUCCGGGAGGUCUAGUUCACCUGCUAUCAGGAAGGGAAAAAACAACACAGAUUUUAUUGGUACAGUCUGUGUCUGGGAAACUAUUAAAACGCAUCUUCAAUUGCCUCAGGGCUUGUGUUGGAGCCCAAAGCCUGGGAUGACUCUUAUGAUUAGGACUAAAAGUCAAGAAACGCAGUAAACGGUACAAGUGAAUUCAGCCAAAGGGAUGAAAUGUGUGCAGGUCUUCAGGUGGAUUCACUGAGCUCUAAGUACAAUUAGAAAAAUGGGAAAGAGAAGUUCCCUAUACCGUUUUUCUGACUAAACAAAAAAGAUAUUUUGUUUUUUCCCUGAAGAACUAAUUUGCUUUUUCAUAGUCAGCAUUUUUCAGAAAGUGAAGCUGAUAUAUUUUUUAUAAUGUUCUUAUAAAGCCAGGCAAGUGCAUUAGAAAUUGCUAACAUUUGUCAUGUUCCUUGUUAAAAAAAUACACACUGAUGGUCUCUCUUUAAUAAAUAACUUAAAUAACUUGCAAUAAAUCACUAGGGCUGUUGACCAAAUGAAAAAUAGAAACAGAACAAAAGAUAAACCAAAUAUUAUUAGUUCUACAAGAAGACGGUGUCCAAAUUUAGCCUGUGCAAUUUUUCUUGGAAAAGAGAGGCUAAAAUUGUCUCCAGCUAAACCAAGACUCCUGUAUCCUUGUCAUUUAGGAAGUCUUUCAGUGACAGGGAGGCAAAGACUAGAACUGACAAUUAUUUGCAACAGAAGAGAAGAACAACAAAACGGAGGUUAUAGGAAGAGUUAUUUAUCAUGCUCAUCUGACAGCCCAAAUGCAAUGAGAUUAGGCAGAAGUGCCCAGGCGCUAUUUACAGAAGAAUCAUCUCUUGAAAUAGACUUUCAUCUCCCUUUGCUCUGUCAUAAUUAGGAACGUCAAAUUUCUUUGAAAAAACGAAGGCAUGGGAGAAGAGAAGGUUUAACUUCCUCUUCUUCCUCAGAAAAUUGAAAUAUGAGUACGAAUUGAAACACCUGUCUGCAAUAAAUAUUUGCUUGCUCAACCUAAAAUUUAUUUAUAUUUUUGAAAGUGAAGAAUGCCUUUUUCAUAAUCUAGUGAUCUUAUAGGAGUUAUAUUUUGGUUUGUUAAAUAAAUAUGAAUUCUUUACCUUUGAAUGAUGAUAAAUCUGUUACCAGAAUUGAUGUUCCAGUGCACCCCAAAGAACCUAAGCUGGGGUACCAGUAAAACAGGAAAAAUGGAAGAAAUGCUGCAAGUGGAAAGAAACAGUACAGCUGAGCAUCACAGGUAAAAGGUGGCACACAGAAGUUUUCUGUAGAUUGUGGAUACCAAAGUGUAUUGUGUGUCUGGAAACUAUCUUGGAAAAUGAAUUUAAUAUAACAACACAUUUGUUAUAAUGGCUUUAACGUUGCACACAGUAUAAAGGAGCCACAAUAAGCGUGGUUCAAAAAAAACCCAACCCACCACACAGUCAUUUUUUUCCUGAUUUCUGCCCUUAGAGAUGGGAGCUUCCCACAUGCUCAGGUUUUGUAUAUUUAAUACAAAGCAUGCACUCUCCCUUGUGAGAAAUGUUCUGGCUGAAACGUGGUCUUGGUCCAUGGUGGAACAAGAUGUUUCUUCUUUCUGUUUUUCAUUUCAAAUUGUUUUGCAAACAGAAAAGUCUAAGGACAUUUUUGUUUUGGAAACCUUUCUGUAGCGAAACGUGUUGCCUGUGCUCUGAGAGGGCUUCAGUGGCUCUGAUAACAUUGUUUGCAGCUCGCAGCUGCCUGGGACCCCAAGUCCUUGGCUCUAUGUCUAUCUGAGGCUGCCAAAGAGUUUAACUUCCGAGUGACAUGGGCCACCCUCCCUCCCUCCCCAUCUGAGCUGGCUGCUCCCAAGAAAGGGCUGUGGGAGCACUGAGUCCCGGCUUUCGGGCAGGCUUGGAUUAUGCAGGAGCUUGUCAGACCCUGUGUGUUUCAAAUGAAACACACCAGGCUCAGUGAGCAAAUGUGGGAACAAAUUAAUGCUUUAAGUUAAAUUUUGCUUCUGACUCCAUCUCUUCCCUGCUUUACUGGUGCAGAACUUCCCAUGUGCCAACUCAGCCUGACCGGGGAGAUUUCUCAAUCUGCAUGUCUGCUCGUCUCCCAUACAGUUUGCUGGCUGUGGGGUUCCACCCCCCGAGGCAGCUGAAUCCCAUCCAUCUGCCACCUUCCAGUCCAGAAUUUAACCCAGAAGCUGCAUUUUUCUUAAGCACUCCCCAUCCUUGGCAGUUACUAUGGCAACCCUGGGACCAACUGUCAGAUGCUGAAACUGCUGCAGCUCCACUUCUGUCAGGAUACAGCUAAAUCACUAAUGGACUAAUUAUUACCACGGGAAGAUAAAUUUUAUGGUUUUUAUUGUAAGACCUAAGGUGAAUAAAGAGCUCAAGUCAUACCUGCACAAGCCAACCACACUCAGAGCUGUUAUUCCCAUAGCAAUCACAAGUAAUUACAUUUUUUGUACCAGCCUUUUAAUGUUUACUGCAUUGAGAGAGAGCCCUAGGAGCACUCAGUUUUGUUACCACACAGAUCACCAACUAGCGUGUCUGUGCAGCAACAAUGCUGCUGGUGUUUUACCAAGAAACACGCUCACUCACUUGCCGGAGGAGAGAAUUGGAAAUUACCAGGGUGGAGGAGCAUCACUGAAGGUUUUGGGUCACCUCCUAUUUUUAAAAGGCAUCAUACAGGCUGGUGGAAGGGGACUCACCUCAAAUGUAAAAAGAACUGAAUCCUGGUUUUAUUACUAGGCUGUGAGGGGUUGACAAGCAAUUUGUUUCCACUUUCAUGCCCAAUUUCUGCAUCUGUUAAAGGGGAGUUCUGAUGUUGAUGUCUCUCUUCAUAAGGUAGAUCUAACAGCAUUUUAAAGCAAAGAUGUAUAAAAUAUGCAUGUUAACAUCACCACCACUUACAUCAUCACUUCAGGUGAUCCCAGAGCACUGUCAGAAGAAGACGGCAAUGUUUGACUUGGAGCACCACAGCCUGGGCAUCCCCUGCCUGCUCUCCAGUUGCCAGCAAACUCAGCGAUGUGCUUCAAAACCCUGUGCUCUCCUCUAUAAGACCCUGUAACAAACCAAAUUUAGACCCUCCAGACUGCAAUCGAAUCCAUUGACUGCGGUGAUAUGAAGUUCAUGCGAUAUGAAUGAAGCUGAAUUUCUGAGCAAUCACAAGGAUUUUCAGCGUGGUGGUGGACAGCACGCACCUACCAUCAGUGACACCCACAUGCCCAGCGAGCUGCCAGAGUGGGCACACACAGUGUGGCUGUGAUGGUGUGAGGGCUGGGACUUGCUUCUGCCAUGGUGAGGUGAUAUUGGAGGUGACAACUGCAACUCUGGGUGUGUUUGAGAAUCUCCUUGUACUGGGACUGAGCAAUAGCUCCUGCUCCGGGGAGCCUCACACUCUUCAAUGCACUUGCCGCAGGACCCUUACAGGCAAUUAUAUCAAGUGCACAAUAUAAUUAACUUUUUAAACAAAAAACCUCACUUGAGAAUGAUUUGUGAAAAGUUUGAAGUGAGUCUUGUAUUUUACAUCCCUGAGCCUGUAAAGCUUCUGUAGUACAACCAACCUCCAAGCCCAAUGGCUUUGUCACAGUACCUAACUUUAUUUUAAAAGCCAUAUUCAUUUAAGUGUUCACAGAAACCUUCUUUGCUCUUUAUAAUCCUGGGUAAAAUACACACAAGUUAUUUUAGAACACAGUUUUUUCUCUUUGAAAUGCUCGUGAAAUGAGACAGAUAACAGUCCCGGACACUUUUUUCCACUAACAGAAUACUGGAUCAGCAUCCCAUGCCCUCAGAGCCAGCUACUGACAACCACGCCAACAAGGUCAGCAAGAUUUGAAGUGAGAGCUCCAAUUCAUCUUGUGCCUACUACCAAAUGGUCAUCACAAUCUGAUGAAUAGAAAUCAUAGAAUGUUCUGAGUUGGAAGGGACCAACGAGGAUCAUCGAGUCCAGCUCCUGUUCCUGCCCAGGUCAACCCCACAGUUCACACCACGUGUCUGAGGGCAUUGUCCAGUCUCUUCUUGAACACCGUCAGGCUUGGGGCUGUGACACCCCCCUGGGAAGGCUGUUCCAGUGCUCCACCACCCUCUGGGAGAAGAACCUUUUCCUAAUGCCCAACCUAAGCCUCCCCUGGCACAUCUUCCUGCCAUUCCCUUGGGUUCUAUCUAGCAGCUUGGAAGGUGUGAUGUUCAACUCACCAUAAAAAGUACCUGAGGCUACUGGGGAUAAAGGAGCUAGAGAGAUUUUGAGGACUUGCCUUCAGCUUGCCUCACUGGCUGAGCAAAGGCAGUGCCCAGCUAAUGAAAAGAGCUUUGCUCCUGCUCCCCACAACCUUGUCUUCCUCCCUCCCAGCUCUCCUUCUUUCACUACUCACCAGGGCUAAAAAUAGUAGCUACAGGCAAACAGAUUGAAUGGAACUAAGGGCAGGUCAGGAAGGAGAAAAUAUUGGAAGAGGUUUGAGCAUCAAGUCAUCCCACAGAGGGAAAGGAGAAGAUCUACCAUCUUAUUUGAGAACAGCUGCAGAUCCCCUGGAAAUUGUUUUCCAAUUAGUAACAAAGCCCACUAACAAACUCUAUUUAGAGUGAAUUUCAGUUGAGACUUUCCUAACUUAGUAGCCAUCAGUUAUGACUUUGAUAGUGACUCUGUCAAAUUCUAUGGAUUAUGCCACAUACAGCCCUUCUCCUGAAAAAAAAAGGGAAGCAUUGCAAUAUGGUGAGUCACAAUCAGAAAAAAGGAGCUUGCUUUAAGAGCACUAUAUGCCUGUUUUUCCAAUCAAAACACCUUGUUGUGUUUUUUAGUGGGUUUUUUGAACUUCAGUUUGCUCUAGCAAAGCAAAAUUAAUAAAAAGGGGAGUACUGAUGAUUCUUAAAAGGCACUGAGUAGGUAGAUGGAACCUUUUCAUGGAAAGAACAAAGCAAUUGCAAAUAAUAAAAGGAACUUUUAAAACUAAGGAAAAUAGAUAUCUAAUACCCUCAAAAAACAACUCUGACUCAACAGUAAAAUCACUGAGAAGACAAACCAGGUGCUUACAAAGAUAAAAGCAUUUGGUCAUGUUAUAAUUCAUGAAAAUAGCUUAAAAUUGAUUUAACCUCACAUUUCAAAGACUAAAUUAAUCUCUAUUUUGGCAGGGCAGAUGACCUCCACCUGCCUUCUGUGCCAUUUUCUGUACUUCAUCAGAGGCUUUUAGAGUUGAACUCUUGUUGGGGUGUGACAGUGGACCAGGAGGAACAUGGCCUUUGACCUCACUGGUGCUAACUGGCAUCUAAUUUUUCAACAGCGUUGUCGGGUCUGGCUGGUGCAACAGUGUGGUAUGGAGGAUUCCCAGGGAUUGUUUAUGAAUGGCCUUUGCAAUAGGCCUGAGCCUCAGAGGCUGAACCUGGCUCAGUCCUGUCUUUCCAUACAAAAAUGACUUUGUGGACACAACUACCCAGCAUUCCAAGGCAGCAUCUCUGAGCAUAUUCUCCCAUCCCUUAAACACAAAUGCGCACACACUUCAAUGAUAGCUGUUUUUCUUGUGCAAGGACAGUGAAACUUCUAUUAAACAUUCACUUCUGUAAUUUCUUCCUCAAAAUCUUUUUCUGAGGUGUUGUGAAACAACUUGGGACAUACACAAUAGUCUACUGUAACAUUUUAUUCAAGCUACAUUUAUCUACGGCUAAGGUAAGAAAAUGUCAUGAUAAAGGUGAUGCAGGAUGUUGUUAAUGAACCUUGUCCUACCUCCAUCAGAGGAAAGCAUAAAGAACUAGAACUUGGGCAGUUAUUGAUUCAGUAUAGCCUGGCAGAAGAGUCUUAGCAUCUCUGAUGUUUAAAGAUGCAACUGCUUCCUUUGGUGACAAUCUGCCCAAGCUUCGAGACAUGAAAUUAGUUACCAGGAAUUAUAGCAACACAUAAAAAAAGUUGCUUUUCACCUUUGUAAUGGUCUUAAGAAAUAUCCUUUGUGGAAGUGAGUUCAAUGACAUCUGAACCCUUAGAGAAGUGCUCUUCCUAGGAUGUAAACAUUGACAGCAAGCUGUUGCAGGACAGAAGGAUUAGCUUGAGCGUAUGUACAACCUUCAGUCUGCCAUGCAGGAAUAUAAGGUGGUCUCCGUAUUCUCCGCCACUGCCUUAUCCAUCGAAUUUGGGCUGUUACUAUUGUGAUUAGAAACUGAAGGUCGUUUAGUGGCCAGCUAAAUCAACUGGUCAAUUGAUGCUUAACAAGAGUAUUAUGGUGUGUUGCUUGUUGGUCUUUUCCUCUCAUAGGCUUACUUGAAAAGCUGAAUGAUGAUCUCAAGUAUUGCAUCACUGUGGCAGUAAUCAAAUUAGCCAAGUGCGCAUCCCCAGGUAAUUGUUUCUGCACAGGACAGAUGCUUCUGCAAACGCAGCACGAGUGGUGGCACUAGAGGGAGCUCCUGCAACAUCACCCACCUCAAAGCCCCCAGUCUGAAAUUAGACCCAGAUCCUAAGAUUUGCUUUUAAAAUUGUGUGGUUUCAAAUUGUGGGUUGGUUUAUUACUUAUUCAUUACUUCUAUGGACAUUUGAAUCACAUUUUCAAAUUUUCUUUUGCUGCUACAGACUCUAGAACUAAUUUACCAGCAUCUCUUCUGCUCCUUGCCAGCAGCUCCUAUUACUGGUUCUAGGAAUUGAGACACAGCCCAUUGCCCAAAUGUUUAUGUAAAACAAACAAACUCAAACACUAUGGAUAUCUUAAUUUUACAAAAAAAAUGCUUGAAAAGCUUCACCGAAGUCUGAAAAAUCUUCCAAAUAUUAAAAUGUUGCUCU